GAAAGUAGGAAAGGGCGUAUGGCGGAUGCCUAGGCUCUUACAGGCGAUGAAGGACGUGAUAAGCUGCGAAAAGCCGCGGUGAGGUGCAAAUGACCCUUGACCCGCGGAUCUCCGAAUGGGACAACCCGUCUGGUUGAAGACCAGUCACCCGCAUAGCGGGGGCCAACCCGGGGAACUGAAACAUCUUAGUACCCGGAGGAAAAGAAAACAAAUUAGUGAUUCCCCAAGUAGUGGCGAGCGAACGGGGAGGAGCCCAAACCCGUGAGGUUCCGGCCUCACGGGGGUAGUAGGACCACGCCGUUGCAAGAAGUAUCGUGAGUGGAAGGUUCUGGAAAGUUCCUCCAUAGAGCGUGAAAGACGCGUACACGAAGCGAUAUGAAGCAUAGUGGUAUCCUGAGUAGCGCGGGGCACGAGGAAUCCUGCGUGAAUCCGCCGGGACCAUCCGGCAAGGCUAAAUACUCGUAAGAGACCGAUAGCGAACCAGUACCGUGAGGGAAAGGUGAAAAGAACCCCGAACAGGGGAGUGCAACAGACCCUGAAACCAUACGCCUACAAGCGGUCGGAGCUGCCUAUGGCAGUGACGGCGUGCCUUUUGCAUAAUGAACCUACGAGUUACCGUAGCGCGGCAAGGUUAAGUGCCAUGAGGCACGCAGCCGUAGCGAAAGCGAGUCUGAACAGGGCGUUUGGAGUCGCCUGCGGUAGACGCGAAACCGAGUGAUCUACACAUGGUCAGGGUGAAGUCCCGGUAACACGGUAUGGAGGCCCGCACCAAUAAGCGUUGAAAAGCUUCUGGAUGAACUGUGUGUAGGAGUGAAAGGCCAAUCAAACUCGGAGAUAGCUCGUACUCCCCGAAAGGCAUUUAGGUGCCGCCUGGGUUGUUUCUGAUGUGAGGUAGAGCGACUGAUUGGAUGCGAGGGCUUCACCGCCUAUCAAGUCCAGACAAACUCCGAAUGCUCAUCAGUUAAGACCCGGAGUAAGGGCGCGGGUGCUAAGGUCCACGCCCGAGAGGAGAAGAAUCCAGACCGCCGGCUAAGGCCCCGAAAUACAGGUUAAGUUAGACUAACGAAGUCCGGUUCCCAUGACAGCCAGGAUGUUGGCUUGGAAGCAGCCAUUCAUUCAAAGAGUGCGUAACAGCUCACUGGUCGAGGGACUGGGCGUGGAUAAUAAUCGGGUAUUAAACCUGUUGCCGAAGCCGCGGGAUACGUAAGUAUCGGUAGGGGAGCAUUCCAAGUGCGUCGAAGGCGAUGGACGACCAUCUCUGGAGCGCUUGGAAAAGCAAAUGUAGGUAUAAGUAACGAUAAAGGGGGUGAGAUGCCCCCUCGCCGAAAGGUCAAGGUUUCCUGAACAACGUUAAUCGGUUCAGGGUUAGUCGGGUCCUAAGGAUAAGCCGAAGGGCGAGGCCGAUGGACGAAACGGUUAAUAUUCCGUUACUGACUGUGCGCGCGAUGCGGCGACGGAGAAGUGACACGGCCGCCUCCUGACGGAAUAGGAGGUUGAAGGGCGUAGGCUAUGAGGAAGGCAGGCAAAUCCACCUUCCGAGCUGAAACCUGAGAGUAUGCAGCGGACCCCGGUCCAAUGCAACAGUGCCGGUAAUCCGGCUCCCGAGAAAACCCGCUAAGCAGCAACGCACAGCCACCCGUACUGUAAACGGACACACGUGACCGGGUUGAGUAUACUAAGGCGCUUGGGAGAGUCAUGGCUAAGGAAUUAGGCAAACUGACCCCGUAACUUCGGGAAAAGGGGUCCUCACGUGAGUGAGGCGCAGAGAAUAGGUCCAGGCAACUGUUUACCAAAAACACAGGGCUGUGCUAAGUCGAAAGACCCGGUAUACAGCCUGACACCUGCCCGGUGCUGGAAGGUUAAGAGGAGUGCUCAGAGCUUCGGCUCGAAGGUAUGAAUUGAAGCCCCAGUAAACGGCGGCCGUAACUAUAACGGUCCUAAGGUAGCGAAAUUCCUUGUCGGG
RNAcentral lists this ribosomal RNA (1963 nucleotides) under gut metagenome. RNAcentral describes it as "bacterial LSU rRNA". It matches the Rfam family "Bacterial large subunit ribosomal RNA", at positions 1 to 1976 of the family's 2925-position model. The record is from RNAcentral.